RNAcentral lists this ribosomal RNA (472 nucleotides) under uncultured bacterium. Its description in RNAcentral is "bacterial SSU rRNA". It matches the Rfam family "Bacterial small subunit ribosomal RNA", at positions 355 to 825 of the family's 1533-position model. The record is from RNAcentral.
UGGGGAAUUUUGGACAAUGGGCGCAAGCCUGAUCCAGCCAUGCCGAGUGCGGGAAGAAGGCCUUCGGGUUGUAAACCGCUUUUGUCAGGGAAGAAACGCUCUGGGCUAAUACCCUGGGGUAAUGACGGUACCUGAAGAAUAAGCACCGGCUAACUACGUGCCAGCAGCCGCGGUAAUACGUAGGGUGCAAGCGUUAAUCGGAAUUACUGGGCGUAAAGCGUGCGCAGGCGGUUAUGCAAGACAGAUGUGAAAUCCCCGGGCUCAACCUGGGAACUGCAUUUGUGACUGUAUAGCUAGAGUACGGUAGAGGGGGAUGGAAUUCCGCGUGUAGCAGUGAAAUGCGUAGAUAUGCGGAGGAACACCGAUGGCGAAGGCAAUCCCCUGGACCUGUACUGACGCUCAUGCACGAAAGCGUGGGGAGCAAACAGGAUUAGAUACCCGUGUAGUCCCUGAGCGGGCUGGCAAGGCGCAU